AGUGUGGAUUGUGACAUAUUGCUGGACC
RNAcentral lists this non-coding RNA (28 nucleotides) under Homo sapiens (human). The record is from RNAcentral. Lineage: Eukaryota; Metazoa; Chordata; Mammalia; Primates; Hominidae.